RNAcentral lists this ribosomal RNA (403 nucleotides) under uncultured bacterium. Its description in RNAcentral is "partial 16S ribosomal RNA". It matches the Rfam family "Bacterial small subunit ribosomal RNA", at positions 30 to 526 of the family's 1533-position model. The record is from RNAcentral.
AUUGAACGCUGGCGGCAGGCCUAACACAUGCAAGUCGAGCGAGCGGCGGACGGGUGUGUAAUGUAUGUGGACUGCCCGUUAGAGGGGGGUAACUACUGGAAACGGUGGCUAUUACACCACACUACCGGAUAACCCACAUGGGAGUAGCUCGUAGGGGAGGUAAUGGCUCACCAAGGCGACGAUCCCUAUCUGGUCUGAGAGGAUGAUCAGCCACACUGUGAUUGAGACACGGCCCAGACUCUUACGGAGGCAGCAGUGGGGAAUAUUGCACAAUGGGCGCAAGCCUGAUGCAGCCAUGCCGCGUGUAUGAAGAAGGCCCUAGGGUUGUAAAGUACUUUCAGUCGGGAGGCGUUACCGACAGAAGAAGCACCGGCUAACUCCGUGCCAGCAGCCGCGGUAAUAC